GAGUAGCAAUACUCUCUGAUGGCGACCGGCGCAAGGGUGCGUAACGCGUGAGCAACUUGCCCUCAUCAGGGGAAUAAUCCCUGGAAACGGCGUCUAAUGCCCCAUGGUGAUGGAAUCAGGCAUCUGAAUCCAUCUAAAGAUUCGUCGGAUGAGGAUAGGCUCGCGUGACAUUAGCUUGACGGCGGGGUAACGGCCCACCGUGGCGACGAUGUCUAGGGGUUCUGAGAGGAAGGUCCCCCACACUGGAACUGAGACACGGUCCAGACUCCUACGGGAGGCAGCAGUGAGGAAUAUUGGUCAAUGGCCGGAAGGCUGAACCAGCCAUGCCGCGUGAAGGUCAGUGCCCUAUGGGCGUUAAACUUCUUUUGUGCGGGAGCAAUAAGGUCCACGUGUGGACCGACGAGAGUACCGUACGAAUAAGCAUCGGCUAACUCCGUGCCAGCAGCCGCGGUAAUACGGGGGAUGCAAGCGUUAUCCGGAUUUAUUGGGUUUAAAGGGUGCGUAGGCUGUGAGGUAAGUCAGCGGUGAAAUGCCCCCGCUCAACGGGGUGAAGUGCCAUUGAUACUGCCUUGCUGGAAUGCGGAUGCCGUGGGAGGAAUGUGUGGUGUAGCGGUGAAAUGCAUAGAUAUCACACAGAACACCGAUUGCGAAGGCAUCUCACGAAUCCGCGAUUGACGCUGAUGCACGAAAGCGUGGGU
This 698-nucleotide ribosomal RNA is filed under the name uncultured bacterium. RNAcentral's name for it is "bacterial SSU rRNA". It matches the Rfam family "Bacterial small subunit ribosomal RNA", at positions 74 to 766 of the family's 1533-position model. The record is from RNAcentral.